AAAUAGAGUAUCAUCGCUAGACUUUUAGAAAAAAACAAUUUCAACUGAUAGGGUUCUCCUGAAGAUAUUCAUCUUAACUGCGCCUUGUCUGAAAUACGUCUGCGAUAGUCUCACAGCCCUAUAAGGAUCGCUGUGCCCUCUCAAGUGAUAAAUAUAUCAUUAUCAUAUAUGUUGAUGUCGUGGGCGGUAUUUAUACGAAACUAAGAACAGAAUAGAUCAAGCAGACAAUAGGUAUUAGGCUUUAGGGCUCAAAACGUUAAACUGUCGCCUUUGCUAUGAGCUUUAUACCAAAUAUCCACAAAUGUUUAAGAAAAAUACUGAAAUUUGCAUAAGCAUCGACUGGCCAGCUGAUGUUAUCAAGAACAUUGACUAUACAUAACCUUUUAACCUCUUUCAAUUCUGUGGAUAUCUCAAGAGGUUAGCAUGGCUCAAUUCAAACACAAAGGCCCAUAUAGCUGGGGUACUUGAAACACGCCUUAUUAUAUUUGCUGUUCGUUUUCCUGUCGUAAUUAUAAAGCUUUGUACCUUCUGCUAUUGACAGCUAUAUUACAGCUGGUGCCACCUGCAUAGGCUUGGUUACAUAAUAGCCACAUAAUAAAAGAAUAUAUUUCUAGUGAUCGUUGGUGCUUCGUUGUUGCCUGCGACAAGGUACCUGCGUCAGAGUUGAUAUAUCCAUUCGAAAUCCUCUGAAACUCUCGCCUGCAAUUCAGCGGCAAAGACGAUACAGAAAGCGUGUUGAAACACCCAAACAGUUUACUGUAUUUGAAGAUGUCACCGAGGCUUGGUCGCUACAUAAUGGGCUGUGUUGGGUCUCGUCAGGACGAACAUCGUAAGAAGCAAACACAAGACGUCUCUGAAGCCUACGAACAAUCGAAUUGUAAGAAUAACACGGGAAGAAAAGGCGACGGAUCCGCGAUUCAGGCUGCCUCGGACGAUGGUAGUCCACCUGUUCACAUGCAACCAAAAAUAAGCAUGAUGUCCGAUCACACAUUGAAACUUCUCAAGGAAAUCGGCGAGUUAAAGUCAUUCACCGAAAUCGACCCGAGUGAAAUAAACUUAAAUAAGUACUCAGAUUUUAUCACGGCCCUGGAAAACCCCCAAGCCGCUGUGAACAACGUAAAAACGCGAAGCACGUAAUGGCACAUACCCGAGGGAUGUUACGACAACUUAGAUACAUUGGCCAUAGAGAUUGCUACAUUGGUUCGACGCGAAAUUAGUGUCACACCGUUUUGUGAGAUGUUGUAGUACACACAUUUAUACAAGUUGAAUGGCGUUUUAAAACAACUAUGAAUAUUGGAUCUUUUAGAUGGGUUUAAAGUAUCCCGUAAUAAUGUCUACUGCCGAUGAAGUUCGCGUUCUGGGGGAAUUCGGCCAGUUUUAAGAUCGAGACAGGGAAAACCAAUUACUUCGGUAAUUUUGUGGCUCGUAAACUAAUAGGUAACAUCGGUUUUAAAGGACCAAACACAACUCUUCUUUACCCGAACUUACUAAGCGGUAAUAAAGUCAAGAUAGUUCGCAGUAGUUUAGGAUCAAGGGGGUUUAGAUUCGCGUACUGAGUGUGGCAUUUCGACUAUUUAAGACGGGGAAACGGAUCAACACUUGUGGAUAAAGAAUAUUGAAAUUUAACAGAUGAAUAAUUACUCAUAUGAGCCACAAAGCAUCGCAGGAACGCCGCCAAAAACUCUUAUGACAAGGAGAAUAAGGAAACGUAGCGAACACACCAUAUAGUGAUACGAAAUAGCAGAUGAAUAUAAUUCGUAGAAAUGCACAGUGUAGCGAGCAAACUUCACUCAUAUUCGGACGCGUUUUCGUCCAUUCUGUGAUGCGCAUCAACAGGAAACACGUCGAACUAGAUUUGGCCAUCAGCUAAGAAUAAUUUAUAUAAAAAACGCCGGUUCGUAAAACCUUGCAGGCAAAGGGAUAUAUAGAAUAGUUUUAAUCAAUAUAUAUAAAUAUAUAUUUAUAUAGACAUUGUAAAAGGUUCGUGCUGUGAAUUCACGCCAAAUGGCAAAGCAUUUAGUUUUGAAUUUUUUGUACAUAGUUAACCGGAUUGAUUCCGGUUAGCUCGAAUGUCACACGGGCUAAUAAUAGAUGAACGUAGACUUGAGUAUUUUCGUUAGAAGCCGUGUAAUAUUCCAUUAUUCCCCGCUAGUCGGAGGGUAUUAAAUUUCUAUUACAUUA
This 2181-nucleotide long non-coding RNA is filed under the name Dendronephthya gigantea. RNAcentral describes it as "uncharacterized LOC114527481". Lineage: Eukaryota; Metazoa; Cnidaria; Anthozoa; Malacalcyonacea; Nephtheidae. The record is from RNAcentral.